RNAcentral lists this ribosomal RNA (443 nucleotides) under Campylobacter sp. canine oral taxon 011. RNAcentral describes it as "bacterial SSU rRNA". It matches the Rfam family "Bacterial small subunit ribosomal RNA", at positions 9 to 448 of the family's 1533-position model. Lineage: Bacteria; Pseudomonadati; Campylobacterota; Epsilonproteobacteria; Campylobacterales; Campylobacteraceae. The record is from RNAcentral.
GAGUUUGAUCAUGGCUCAGAGUGAACGCUGGCGGCGUGCCUAAUACAUGCAAGUCGAACGGAGAUUAAAGUAAGCUUGCUUAUUUUAAUCUUAGUGGCGCACGGGUGAGUAAUGUAUAGCUAAUCUGCCCUACACUAGAGGACAACAGUUGGAAACGACUGCUAAUACUCUAUACUCCUUCUUUACAUAAGUUAAGUCGGGAAAGUUUUUCGGUGUAGGAUGAGGCUAUAUCGUAUCAGCUAGUUGGUGAGGUAAUGGCUCACCAAGGCUAUGACGCGUAACUGGUCUGAGAGGAUGAUCAGUCACACUGGAACUGAGACACGGUCCAGACUCCUACGGGAGGCAGCAGUAGGGAAUAUUGCUCAAUGGGGGAAACCCUGAAGCAGCAACGCCGCGUGGAGGAUGACACUUUUCGGAGCGUAAACUCCUUUUCUUGGGAAAGA